CCUACGGGAGGCAGCAGUGAGGAAUAUUGGUCAAUGGGCGAGAGCCUGAACCAGCCAAGUCGCGUGAGGGAGUACUGCCCUAUGGGUUGUAAACCUCUUUUGUCGGGGAGCAAAAGCCGGACGUGUCCGGCUGUGAGAGUACCCGAAGAAAAGGCAUCGGCUAACUCCGUGCCAGCAGCCGCGGUAAUACGGAGGAUGCGAGCGUUAUCCGGAUUUAUUGGGUUUAAAGGGUGCGCAGGCGGAUUUUUAAGUCAGCGGUAAAAUCGUGGGGCUCAACCCCAUCCAGCCGUUGAAACUGGGGAUCUAGAGUGUGCGAGAGGUAUGCGGAAUGCGUGGUGUAGCGGUGAAAUGCAUAGAUAUCACGCAGAACCCCGAUUGCGAAGGCAGCAUACCGGUGCACAACUGACGCUCAGGCACGAAAGCGUGGGUAUCGAACAGGAUUAGAUACCCGUGUAGUC
This 458-nucleotide ribosomal RNA is filed under the name uncultured bacterium. Its description in RNAcentral is "partial 16S ribosomal RNA". It matches the Rfam family "Bacterial small subunit ribosomal RNA", at positions 338 to 795 of the family's 1533-position model. The record is from RNAcentral.